This 45-nucleotide non-coding RNA is filed under the name Trichobilharzia regenti. The record is from RNAcentral. Lineage: Eukaryota; Metazoa; Platyhelminthes; Trematoda; Strigeidida; Schistosomatidae.
CUCCAGGUGAAGAGUCCCAAAUAGGACGAAAUGCGUAUCCUUGAU